This 503-nucleotide ribosomal RNA is filed under the name uncultured bacterium. RNAcentral's name for it is "bacterial SSU rRNA". It matches the Rfam family "Bacterial small subunit ribosomal RNA", at positions 8 to 507 of the family's 1533-position model. The record is from RNAcentral.
AGAGUUUGAUCAUGGCUCAGAUUGAACGCUGGCGGCAUGCUUUACACAUGCAAGUCGAGCGGCAGCGCGGGGGCAACCCUGGCGGCGAGCGGCGAACGGGUGAGUAAUGCAUCGGAACGUACCCUGGAGUGGGGGAUAACGCCGCGAAAGCGGCGCUAAUACCGCAUAUGCUCUGAGGAGGAAAGUGGGGGACCGCAAGGCCUCACGCUCUGGGAGCGGCCGAUGUCCGAUUAGCUAGUUGGUGGGUAAAGGCUUACCAAGGCGACGAUCGGUAGCUGGUCUGAGAGGAUGAUCAGCCACACUGGGACUGAGACACGGCCCAGACUCCUACGGGAGGCAGCAGUGGGGAAUUUUGGACAAUGGGGGCAACCCUGAUCCAGCCAUGCCGCGUGAGUGAAGAAGGCCUUCGGGUUGUAAAGCUCCUUUGGUCGGGAAGAAAGCGCCUUGCCUAAUACGCGAGGUGGUUGACGGUACCGGCAGAAUAAGCACCGGCUAACUACGUG